UAAAUAUUUAAUGGUAUUAUUAGAUAUAUGUAAGUUUUAGCAUGAUUAUAUUAUAUUUUAUAAAAUUAUAAUAUAUCUUUAUUUGCAGUAUAUAAUUUUAAUUAUUAAGGAAAUUUAGAAUUAGGAAUAAUAUAGAGUAUUAACAAAAUUUGUGCCAGCAGUAGCGGUUAUACAAAUGAUACAAUUAAAUUUUAUUUUAUUAUAGUUAAUAGAUUAAUAAUUAAUUAAAUAUUAAAUUUAUUAGGUGAAAUUAUAAAUUUAAAUAUAUUUAUAAAUUAAUAUAUGAGGCUAUUAAAUUUAAUUAAUAGACUAGGAUUAGAUACCCUAUUAUUUUAAAUGUAAAUAUUAAAUAAAAUUAGUAUUAGUUAUUUUCUUGAAAUUUAAAGAUUUUGGCGGUAUUUUAGUCUCUUCAGAGGAACCUGUUCUAUAAUCGAUAGUCCACGAUAAAUAUUACUUAUUUUAAUUAGUUUGUAUAUCGUCGUAAUUGGGUAUUUCAUUAGAAUUAAAAUAUUCAAAAUUUAAAAUAAUAAAUUAAAUCAGAUCAAGGUGCAAUUUAUAGAUAAGAAGAAAUGGGUUACAAUAAAAAUAUUUAUAUGAAUAAAUUAAUGAAAAAAAUUUUGAAGGUGGAUUUGAAAGUAAUAAAAUUUAUUUAAAUUUUAUGAUUUUAGCUCUAAAAUAUGUACAUAUCGCCCGUCGCUUUCAUAAGAUUUGGAAUAAGUCGUAACAAAGUAGAUGUAUUGGAAAAUGUUUCUAGAAUUCA
This 760-nucleotide non-coding RNA is filed under the name Hydrochus sp. BMNH1425167. Lineage: Eukaryota; Metazoa; Arthropoda; Insecta; Coleoptera; Hydrochidae. The record is from RNAcentral.